This 7281-nucleotide long non-coding RNA is filed under the name Homo sapiens (human). RNAcentral describes it as "HSALNT0288066". Lineage: Eukaryota; Metazoa; Chordata; Mammalia; Primates; Hominidae. The record is from RNAcentral.
GUGUUGGACACUACCCUGUCUUCUCUGUGGGAUCCAAAGAAUAGUCCCUUGAAUCUAGGACAGGGCAGAGGUAAGCCAGGCUGAAGAAACAUCAAGAAAAGCCCCAGAAAUAAGCUGUAAAAUCCCUAUGUAUCAAAAAUGAUCUGCAUCAUGUCUCAGGGUUGCCUAGAUUUUAUGGGGUGAGACUUUUUGAAACUUGUCCCAUUGUGAUUUCUAGGUACAGCCUGCCUGUGUUCCCCAUGGACCCUCUCUCCCAGGAUCCAUUGUGUUUCUCAACAGCGCUACUGGACACCAUUCUCAGGCUGGCAAUUGCCACAGAGGGCAUCUGAGACAUUGUCUCAACUUCAUCUGCACCAGUGGGAGGCCUUUCCCAGGUGGGAGAACACUACUCCACUUUGGAAUUGCCAUUGUCAGUGUUCCUGGCUUUCCCAGAGAGCCACUGCAAGGCCCAGGAUGAAGGGAGGCAGUGAGAUUAAGGACACAAUCAUCUUUCACUGACAUCCAACUCUGGGACCUCAGCCUCUUUCAGAAAUGAAGUCAGAAAAGCAGUUUCCAGGGACCACCUCAGCGUCUCAAAACCCCUCCACUUCCAAUGGGAAAUGACCACAGAGAUGUUCUGAAGGGGCCCUAGGAGGAGACUUUUAGGGUCCCACAGUGGUUUGUCGCAUGUAUAAUUUUUCCUAAUACCAGGCCAAUUCUGUCUGUACCAUUUUCCACUGCUUAGGCACUGACAGCUCUGACAGCCGGGCACCAGAGCUGGCUUUAUGAAUGCUCAUGUGUUUGUCUCAGGGCACCAGGCCUGAGCUGUGAGCUCUGGCUAGAGUCACAAUGUAUGCCACCUUUGCCUAGCGACAAGUCCCUGCAGCUUGCCAGAGAAGGAAAACUCCUUGGAGGUGCAUCAGCAAUUGAAUCUCCCCUGUGUUCUCUUUGGGAUCCGUGGAAUAAUCCCAUGAUCCUAGGAGAGGGCAGAUAUUUGCCAGUGUGAAGAAACAUCAAGCAGAGCCCCAUAAAUAAACAGUGAAAUACCUAUGCAUCCAAAAUGAUCUGCACGAUGCCUCAGGCUUGCCUAAAGGUUGUGGGGUGAGUCUUUUUGAAAAUUGCCACGCUGCGAUUUUGAGGUACAGCCUGCCUGUGUUCCCCAGGGCUGUUAUCUCCCAGGUGGGGUUUCCUGCAGAACCACAAAGACUCAGAAGCUGUCAAGCUGUCUGUUUCUUUAGGAUUGUGGUGAAUCUUGGACAUCUGCAUGAGUCUGUGGCCUCAUGUGUUUGUGUGUGUGUGUAUGUGUGUAUGUGUGUGCCUGUAUGUGGAGUUCUCUUGAAGAAAUGUGGCUAACACACUUCAGAACUUCUCUUAUUUUUUUUUUUAUGUCUCACAAACGUUUGAUGGCCUUUCAUUGUGUCUCUACCUGGGCUGUGGGGCUCCAAAUUCUCUAAUUUUCUGCGGAUCGUGAAUCCACAGUGAAGUGGGAGGGGUGCUGAGACCCACCGGUGUCCAAAUCACCUGUGCCAAAAUAGCCACUCUACUAGAAAGAAGAGGAGCAUACCACACCAAAAAACACAUCUGCCAGUGUAUCAUAGGCAUAUGGCCAAUCCAAGAAGGGAUAGUAGCAGUCCUGUCUGCAGGGCCCCUUGAAUGUACCUUGAACUCAGUUCCCAGCCAAGCAGAUGCUUCAUAUUGUAAGGGGGCACUCCUCUAUUGUCUAUUGUCUUGGGAUGUCAUCCUGGGACACAGAGUGUGAGCAGCACUCUCUUCUUUUCUUGACUUCCUGUUCCUCAUCUGCCUAGGGUUUCCUCAUUCUGGCUUAACGACUUCAACACAAAACGUUUAAAACUUCACUUAGAACGAUCCUCAUGGGAAUCCAUUGUAGAGUCUCUUCCUUUGGGCUGUUCCUGGAUGGGACUGCCUGGCACCACAGAUCACUUAGCUGCCAGGAACUUCAGCGAGCAUAAGAGACUUCAGGUAUGCUGGUUGUGAUCCAGAUAGUGGGUUGUUUUCUCUUUGUGGGGGCUGAGUUUGUUUGCACUUUGCAGGAGGCUUUGGGUUCUCUGAUGGGAAUGUUUGAAUGUUGCCUGGACUCUAGCACAAGUAAGCUCAUUUGUUCAGAAGAGCCUUAACUUUUCCUUGGUUUCAUGUGGGGUCCACAGUGUCCCUCAACAGCACUAAUGAACAUCAUUUUCAUGCUUGCAAUCACCACAGACAUCCUCUUAGACAGGGUCUCAACAUCAUCUGCACCCAUGAGAGGCCAAUUCAAGGUUUGAGAACCCUGCUACAUAUUGGACUUUCAUUUUUCAUGGUUCUUGACUUUCCCAGAAAGCCUUUGUGAGGCCCAGGAUGAAGGGAGGCAAUGAGGUUAAGGGCCCAACUGCCAGAAUAUAUUCCAAUACCCACGGGACUUGAUUACUGCACACAGCCUCUUUCGUGAAUGGUGUCAAAAGGGCCAUUUCCUCAGGCCUGCCUAGACGUUGUACGGGUGAGUCUUUUUGAAUCUUGCCCCACUGUGAUUUCUAGGUACAGAUCAUCUGUGUUCCCCAGGGUUGCUCUCUCCUAGAUGGGGCUUUCUGCAGAACCACACUGCCUCAGGAGCUGCCAGGCCAUGUGUUUCUGUGGGAGUAUUGCAAGUGUUAGAUUUAUGCGUCUGUGUGUGGUGUGUAUUUGUGUGUGUGUGUGUGUGUGUGUGUGUGUGUGUGUGUGUGGCUGUAAGUGGAGUCUGCUUAAUGGAAUGUGGCUAACACACUUCAGCCCUUCUUCUUCUCUCUUUCUUUUUUUUUUCAGUCUCACAACCUUUUGGUUGUCUGUCUUUGUGGCUUUGCUUGGGCUGCCCAGCUCUUUGUUCUUUAUUUUCCUGUGGUUCAUGAAUCUAUAGUUAAUUGUGUGCUGAGACCCACUGGCAUUCAAAUCCUCUCCCACUGCAAAAAAUAAAUAAAUAAAUAAAUAAAUAAAUAAAUAAAUAAAUAAAUAAAAUAAAAAGCCUUUCGUCUACAAAGAAAGGGAGCACUCUUCUCCAAAAAACAGACAUCUCCAUCAUUUCAUUUUCGUGUGGUCAACCCAGGAAGAGACACUGGCUGUCCUGUCCGCAGGGCCCUUGAAUGUAUCUGUAAUUCAGUUCCCAACCAAUCAGGUGCUUCACAUCAUGAGGGAGAACUCUUCCAUCAUCUUGGAAUUUUAUCCUGUUACAUAGAGUGUGGGCAGCAAUAAAGUCAGAUGGGGUGAGGAUACAAUCUGGUGAGAAGUGGAUGGGGGUCCUGCAACUUCAUCUGCAAAAAAAUGAAGACUGAUGACACAGAAGGUGUUUCCAACUCCAUCCCCACAUUUUCUUAAUUGCACAAGCAGUCCACACAAUGGUCUGGUGUUGAAGUGGGAAUAUUCCAAUGUGUAAGAAACAUUUGGAGUGCAAAUUUGGGACACAAGGCAGCUCAUUCUCUCAGGCAAGCCUUGAUUUUCCUUUGCUUUCAUGGGGAAUCCACAGUGCCCCACAACAGCACUACUGGACACUUAUUUCGGGAUUUCCAUUGCCAGAGACGGCCUCUGAGAAACUGUCUCAACCUCAUCUUCACCCUUGAGAAGCCAGUCCAAGGUGUGAGAACACUUCUCCACCUUGGACUUGCCUUUGUCAUGGUUUCUGCCAUUACCAGAGGUUUCCUGCCUUUCCCAGAUGGCCACUGUGAAGCUCAGGAUGAAGGGAGGCAGUGAGGUGAAUAUCCUGGCCAUCUUUCACUGACAGAGACUCCACCUCUGGAGUCUCAGGUAUGAUUCAAUCAUCCAAAAUACCUCGACAGCACACCAGAUCAAAUUCCAGUCCCCAUGGGACCCAAUUAUUUCACGCAACCUCUCUGAGAAAUGAAAUCAGAAGAAGAGUUGUGAGUGAAGACCUCACAGUUUCAAAACGCUUCCUCCUGUAGCAGGACCCAACCACAGAGACUGCCAGAAGGGGCCCUGAGGUCAAAAUUUUUAGGGUCCCUCAGUGGAUACUUGCAGGCAGGCUUUUUUUCAGAUAUCAGGCCGCUUUCAUCUGUACUAUUUUCCUCUGCUUAGGCAGGCUGACAGCUCUGAUAGCCUGGCACCAGAACCUACUUUGUGCUUACACAGGCGCUAGUCUCAGGGCACCAGGCUUGAUUGUGAGCUCUGGCUAGCAUCACAGUGAAUGUCACUGUUGCCUAACAAUAAGUCUCUGCGGCUUAGGGGAGGAGAACUCCGUGAAGGCAUAUGGGCUGUGGACUCUCACCUGUCUUCUCUGUGGGAUCCAUGAUGUAGUCCCAUGAUCCCAGGACAGGGCAGACCUGAGCCAGCAUGAUAAAAAGUCAAGUAGAACCCCAAGAAUAAACCACAAAAUCUCUAAGAUUUCAGAAGGAUUUGUAGAAUGCAGCAGGCCUGCCUACACAUUGUAGAGUUGAGUUUUUUGAAACUUGCUCCACUGUGAUUUCUAGAAGCACCCUGUCUGUGUUGCCCAGAAUUGCUCUCACCCAGGUGAGGCUUCCUGCAGAACCAUGCAACCUCAGAAGCAGUUCUUAGAUGUCUGCUUGUAGGUGUGACUUUCUGCCUUUGUGUGUGUGUGUGUGUGUGUGCACUCGUGUAAGUGCCUGUAAGUCAAGCCUGCUUAAAAGAAUGUGGCUAAUGCCCUGCAGCAAUUCUUUUUUAUUUGCAUCUCCCAACCUUUAGGUGGUCUGUUUGUGUGGCUCUUCUUAGGCUGAAGGGCUCCAUGUUCUUUAAUUUUUCUGUGGAUCAUGAAUAGAAGUGAAUUUGGACACUGGCUGUGACCUGCUGGUGUCCACUUCACCUCCCCAUGCAAAAAAAAAAAAAAAAAAAAAAAAUUCUUCUAGAAAGAAUAGGAGCAUAAAACAUCCAAGAACAGACAUCUCCAAUUGUUUCAUUGUUCUGCAGCCAACCCAGGGAGAAAAACUAGCAGUCCUGUCUGCAGGACUUUUGAAUUUAUUUUGAAUUUAUUUUGAAUUCGGUUGCCACAUGAGCAGGUGGUUCAUGUCAUGAAGUGGCACUUCUGCAAAGCCUUGAGAUUUCAUUCUGAAACAUAGAGUGUGAGCAGCAAUAUGAUCAUAUAGGGUGUUUCCUGGGAUUGGCUCAUCGACCUCUACACUAAAUGUUUCCAAGGUCAUGGAGAACGACCCCAGUGGGAAUCCAUUGACCUUCUCUUUGUGGAGGGGAUCUUUUAUUGGCUUGUUCCUGGAUGGGACUGACUUUGACCAAAUAUUAUCAAGGUGACAGUGACUUCAGAGAGCUGAAGGGACUUCAGAGUGACCCUCAACAGAACUACUGGACACUCUUUUUGGGCUUACCAUCACUACAGACGGCCUCUGGGGCAUUAUCUCAAACUCAUCUCCACCUGUGAGUGGACAGUCCGAGGUGUGAGAACACUGCUCCAAUGUGGACUUGCAUUUUUCUUGGUUCCUGCCUUUCCAAGACAGCCCUGAGAGGUCCAGGAUGAAGGGAGGCAGCGAGGUCAAGACCCCAGCCAUCUUUCACUGAUAUUUACCUCUGGUUUCUAAAGUAUAAUUCUAACACUUAAAGAACCCUCAACAACACUACAGACAAAAUUCGAAUCCCCAUGGGACCUGAUUCUUGCACACAGCCUCUGUCGGGCAUGGAUUCAGAAGGGCAGUUUCCACUGACCACAUUAGAGUCUUGAAAUGCCUCCUCAUCCAGCUGGGCCUAACCACAGAGACUGCUAGAAAGGGUCCCGAGGUUGAGAAUUUUAGGUUCAUGCAGUAGGCUUUAAUAGGCAGCCUUUUUCCCAAUAGCAGCCCAGCUCUGCCGAUACCAUUUUCCUCUGCUUAGGCAGGCUGACACCUCUGACAGCUGGGCACCUGAGCCUGCCUCUUGAAUAUGCAUGUGCUAAAGUCAGGGCAUUGGGCUGAUUUUGAGUUUUGGUUAACGUCACAAUGAAUGUCACCAUUGCCUAGUGGCAAGUCCCUGUGGCUUGGCAAAGAAGGAGAACUCUGUGGAGGUGCGUCGGGCAUGGACACUCACCUGUCUUUUUUGUGGGAUCCACAGGAUAAUCCCAUGAUCCUAGAAGAAGGCAGACAUGAGCCAGUCUGAAGAAAAGCCAAGCACAGCCCCAGAAAUAGACCACAAAAUUCCUAAGUAUCCACAAUAUCUGAAGGACUACUCAGGCCUGCCAAGACGUUGUAGAUGUGAAUUUUUUUAAGUUUGCUGCACUGUUUUUUAGGUACAGCCUACCUGUUUCCCAGGGUUGCUGUCUCCCAGUUAGUGUUUCCUGCAGAACCACAUAGUUUCAGGAGCUGCAGGUCUUUGUGUUUCUGUGGGAGUGUGGUGAGAGUUGGAUGUCUGCGUGUGUGUAGCAUUGUGUGUGUGUGUGUAUGUGUUCCUGUAAUUAGAGUCUGCUUAAAGGAAUGUGGCUGAUGCACUACAACACUUCUUUGUUUUUUUUUUGAGUCCCCCAACCUUUGGUGGCCUGUCUUUUUGCCUUUGCUUAGGCUGCAGGGCUCCGUGUUCUUUAUUUUCUGUUGAUCAUGAAUCUGCAAAGGUUUGUGAGUUGGUCCAAGAACAGCUGGAGUUCAAAUCACCUCCCUUUCCAAAAAAAAAAAAAAAAAAAAAACACUCACCUAGCAAGAAGAGGAGCACACCAACAUCACAAAAAAUGUAAAUCUUCCAGUGUUUCAUUUUCUUGCAGCCAAUACAGGGAGAGAAACUAGCAGUCCUGACUGCAGGGGCUUUGAAUUUACCUUGAAUUCGAUUCCCACCCAAGUAGGCAUUUCACAUCAUAAGGUGACACUCUGAAAUUGUGUUGGAAUUUCAUUCUGGGACAUCAAGUGUGAGCAGCAGUAAGGUCAUAUAGGGAGAGGAUACAAUCUGGAGAGGGGUGGAAGGGGUCUAGCAGCUUCACCUGCAAAAAAAAUUAAAGAUAGAUAACACAGAAGUUGCUUCUAACUCCAUCCCUGCAUUCCCUUAAUUGUAGAAAUGGUCCACACCAUGGCCCCUGUGUUCAAGUAUGAUUACUCCCACGUGAAAGGAACAUUUAGAGUGCAAAUUGGGGCUAUCCUGGCAAAAUUCCAAUUUGAGAGCUCUCAUACCUGGAGCAAAAUCUGAGUGGAAUGGAUUGAUGCUGAGUGGGAUGUGGCCUCCACACUUGCCCUCCUGUGUUCCUUGGGGUUGCCAUCUCUCAGGAGACGUUGGUUUCUCUGGCAGGAACAUUUGAACGUUGCUUGGACUCCUGCACAAGCCAGCUCAUUCACUCUGUCACCACAUACGGCCUCUGAGACACUCUCUCAACCUCAUCUGUACCUGUAAGAGGCCAGUUUGACAUGUAAG